This is a long non-coding RNA of Hydra vulgaris (swiftwater hydra), 1278 nucleotides long. RefSeq lists it as uncharacterized. The record is from RefSeq and is a predicted model, not a curated record. NCBI's taxonomy places the organism in Eukaryota, Metazoa, Cnidaria, Hydrozoa, Anthoathecata, Hydridae.
UUUUCAAAAAGGUCUUUUUUUUUUUCAGAAAAUUUUAUAUAUUGAUUACUUUUUGGAGAAAUUGACGAUUGUGUCACUCCACUUUGAAACCCGUGUCGUCGGCCAUAAGAUAUACUUAUUUCACAAAGUAGAAAUCGAGUGAAAAUAUCAUACUUCAAAUCUAAGUUUAUUGACGAAUAAAUAAAUAUGAAGAUAAAUACUAUGUAUAUAAAAUAUUGUAUGUAAAAGAUGAUAAUUUAAAAAAAAGCAAACUUGAAAAAAAAAUUAAAAUAGAUGUUGUGUCAUCGAUAGGUUCAGGUAAUUGUAUGAAUGAGCGUAAAGAUCACACAAAUCCAAAUAUCCCAUGAUUUAUUCAAUAUUCUUUUUCUAGUUUUGCAUAUAAUCAAAUUGUGAUUUACAACAUUUAUACAUUUAAUAUGUCUUAUUCAAAGUGCACAAAAGAACUACAUUUGUUUAAUCCAAAUAUGUUAUCAUGUGUAUGUCUAUGGAUAAACAUGCAGAAAUGUCUAAGUCAAUGCAAAAAAACAAUUUAAUUGAUAAAAUUAUUAUAUUACAGUAUAGAAACAAGUAUUGUCAACUUGUUGGUUAAGAAAAUUAACACAUUACAUCUAUUUUGCAAAAAGGACUGUUGAUAAAAAUAUUUCCGCGGUAGAUCUACAAAAUGUCUUUUACGAAAUAUGAUACGGAAAGAAAAAAAGAAUUUAGCGUAAUAUCGAAAAAUGUUUACAGCUUUGAUUUUUUAACUCUUUUAAAAAAGGUGAUUGCGAUACAAACAACCUUUACUUUUAUUAAAUUAAAUUAAGUUAAUUUAUUAGCUGAGUAUUCGUUGUCAUUGUUGUUGUUGUUGUUGUUAUUAUUGCUAUUGUUGGUUUGGUUGAAUAUGUUAAUCGAGUUAACUGUACCUAUUGAUUGACUUCAUCUAUGAACAAUUGUGUAUAAGUUACAGGUUCUGAGACGCAUUUCCGGCAACAACUUUUUUAUAAUGGUUAUCUACAAAAUACUCUUUUUGCACGUAACAUCACAGAAUGUUGAACUAAAAACACAGAUCUGCGUACACUUGCUGCAUGUACAUAUUGCUGCAUACUUUAAACUGCAUGGUUUUGCAAUACUUAUUUAACAAAUUAUUGUAGAAAGGACGUUUUUGGAUGUAGAAAGGACGUUUCUGGAUGUAGAAAGGACGUUUCUGGAUGUAGAAAGGACGUUUCUGGAUGUAGAAAGGACGUUUCUGUAAUAAUUUAUGUAAUAAAUAAACUUAUUACAUAAAUCUUGCUAAAGUAA